Molecule: ribosomal RNA, 465 nt
Filed under: Vreelandella stevensii
Lineage: Bacteria; Pseudomonadati; Pseudomonadota; Gammaproteobacteria; Oceanospirillales; Halomonadaceae
Description: partial 16S ribosomal RNA
Rfam family: Bacterial small subunit ribosomal RNA
Source: RNAcentral
CCUACGGGAGGCUGCAGUGGGGAAUAUUGGACAAUGGGCGAAAGCCUGAUCCAGCUAUGCCGCGUGUGUGAAGAAGGCCUUCGGGUUGUAAAGCACUUUCAGUGGGGAAGAAAGCCUUGGGGCUAAUACCCUCGAGGAAGGACAUCACCCACAGAAGAAGCACCGGCUAACUCCGUGCCAGCAGCCGCGGUAAUACGGAGGGUGCGAGCGUUAAUCGGAAUUACUGGGCGUAAAGCGCGCGUAGGCGGUCUGAUAAGCCGGUUGUGAAAGCCCCGGGCUCAACCUGGGAACGGCAUCCGGAACUGUCAGGCUAGAGUGCAGGAGAGGAAGGUAGAAUUCCCGGUGUAGCGGUGAAAUGCGUAGAGAUCGGGAGGAAUACCAGUGGCGAAGGCGGCCUUCUGGACUGACACUGACGCUGAGGUGCGAAAGCGUGGGUAGCAAACAGGAUUAGAUACCCGGGUAGUC